GGACUACCCGGGUUUCUAAUCCUGUUCGCUCCCUAUGCUUUCGCUCCUCAGCGUCAGUUACGGCUCAGAGAACUGCCUUCGCCAUCGGUGUUCCUCCUGAUAUCUGCGCAUUCCACCGCUACACCAGGAAUUCCAUUCUCCCCUACCGCACUCUAGUUUGCCCGUACCCACUGCAGGCCCGAGGUUGAGCCUCGGGUUUUCACAGCAGACGCGACAAACCGCCUACGAGCUCUUUACGCCCAAUAAUUCCGGACAACGCUUGCACCCUACGUAUUACCGCGGCUGCUGGCAC
RNAcentral lists this ribosomal RNA (292 nucleotides) under uncultured bacterium. RNAcentral's name for it is "partial 16S ribosomal RNA". The record is from RNAcentral.